AGUUUCUGAAUCCCAACGCUCUUGGCCGCCUCAACUAUGUCCGUGGGCAAACUGGGCAGACUAACCCCUCUCUUCUCCGCCUCCUGGACCACCUGGUCGAAGCUGAGUAUGGGUCCGAACUCAUCCUCCUCCUCGUCACCGUCACCCCCGCCGCCGCUACCGCCGCCAUUCUCGCCGUCCCCACCGCCGCCGGCGGCGGGAGGGAGCUUGCCAUUUCCACCAUCAUCGACAUCAAGCUUCUCCGGGAGCACAACAGGUUGAACAACCGCGGCCACCUCCUCAGUAGCGUCCCCCGCUUCGGGGACGACGACGUCCGGGCCGGAGGUGGCGGCGCCAUCCGCGCUCGCCCGCGGCGGUGGCGGGAGGUCAGCGCGGAUUCCCCUGGCGGUGCUCCACCUCCAGGCGGUCGGACGGAAGCAGGUGCCCCGCCGCCCGAGCAGAGCCGCGCCGGGACGGCAUUUGGCGCCGCCGACGCCGGUGCGACCGUGGAGGCGCGCGCCCGCGCAGGAGAACGCCAUGCUCAUGCUCGAUCGGAGAAAAGUGGUCGGAUUGGGACGGCUAAACGAUUUUGCCGCGGCGAGAGAGAUGAGUGCGCCACAGGGGCGGGGGUAUGGAGGGCGCGGCGGACCACAGAAUUGGUCGGGAUGGGUGGGAUUCGGCUGGGAAAUAGCGGAGGAGGGCGAGGGGUUUGGUCUUUCGUGGGGGACUGGGGAUUGGUGGGGUG
This 724-nucleotide unclassified non-coding RNA is filed under the name Zea mays. Its description in RNAcentral is "misc RNA Zm00001eb304000". Lineage: Eukaryota; Viridiplantae; Streptophyta; Magnoliopsida; Poales; Poaceae. The record is from RNAcentral.